RNAcentral lists this ribosomal RNA (233 nucleotides) under uncultured bacterium. RNAcentral's name for it is "partial 16S ribosomal RNA". It matches the Rfam family "Bacterial small subunit ribosomal RNA", at positions 524 to 755 of the family's 1533-position model. The record is from RNAcentral.
UACGAAGGGGGCGUAGCGUUGUUCGGAAUUACUGGGCGUAAAGCGCACGUAGGCGGGUCGUUAAGUCAGGGGUGAAAUCCCGGAGCUCAACUCCGGAACUGCCUUUGAUACUGGCGAUCUAGAGAUCGAGAGAGGUGAGUGGAAUUCCGAGUGUAGAGGUGAAAUUCGUAGAUAUUCGGAAGAACACCAGUGGCGAAGGCGGCUCACUGGCUCGAUACUGACGCUGAGGUGCG